Molecule: ribosomal RNA, 371 nt
Filed under: uncultured organism
Description: bacterial SSU rRNA
Rfam family: Bacterial small subunit ribosomal RNA
Source: RNAcentral
CGUAGGAGGCGAGCGUUAUCCGGAUUCACUGGGCGUAAAGCGCGUGCAGGCGGUUCGAUAAGUUGGAUAUGAAAUCUCCCGGCUUAACUGGGAGAGGCUAUUCAAUACUACCGGACUAGAGAGUGGUAGAGGAAGAUGGAAUUCCCGGUGUAGUGGUGAGAUGCGUAGAUAUCGGGAGGAACACCAGUGGCGAAAGCGAUCUUCUGACCAUUUCUGACGCUCAGACGCGAAAGCUAGGGUAGUAAACGGGAUUAGAGACCCCGGUAAUCCUAGCCGUAAACGAUGUAAACUUGGUGUCGGUGGCUUUAACUCCUUCGGUACCGAAGCUAACGCGAUAAGUUUACCGCCUGGGGACUACGAUCGCAAGAUUA